Molecule: long non-coding RNA, 227 nt
Filed under: Vigna radiata
Lineage: Eukaryota; Viridiplantae; Streptophyta; Magnoliopsida; Fabales; Fabaceae
Description: long non-coding RNA (VRAD_LNC014995)
Source: RNAcentral
GGGAGGCUAAGAAAGUCGCUUAACAAUUGAAUCAAUCAAACUAAUAUUCAAAGGUAGUAUGUAAGAGAGAGCGGAAUAGAUGAAAUUGUAAACCCUCAACAACAUCCAUUCAUCUAUUGUUUUCGUUUGUCAAUUGAAUCAACUUUCUUUAUGCAUGUUAAUAUUUUUGUUCUCAAAUCCAAUUUAUUAAUUUUUAUUUUUCAAGUCUUAUUAUUUUAAUUCACGCG